RNAcentral lists this ribosomal RNA (451 nucleotides) under uncultured bacterium. RNAcentral describes it as "partial 16S ribosomal RNA". It matches the Rfam family "Bacterial small subunit ribosomal RNA", at positions 29 to 523 of the family's 1533-position model. The record is from RNAcentral.
AACGAACGCUGGCGGCAGGCUUAACACAUGCAAGUCGAACGGGCGUAGCAAUACAUCAGUGGCAGACGGGUGAGUAACACGUGGGAACCUUCCUCGGAGUACGGAAUAACGCAGGGCAACUUGAGCUAAUACCGUAUACGUCAGUGAGGAGACAGAUUUAUCGCCCUUAGACGGGCCAGCGUCGGUGUAGCUAGUUGGGGGGGUAACGGAGUACCAAGGCGACGAUCCGUAGCGGGUCUUAGAGGAAUGUCAGAGACUCUGGGAGUGGGACACGGCCCAGACUCGUACGAGAGGCAGGAGUGGGGAAUCUUGGACAGUGGGGGCAGGCCUGAUGGAGCCAUGCCGGUUAAGUGAAGAAAGUCUUCAGAUUGGAUAGCUCGUGUACCAGGGACGGUAUUGACGGUACCUGGAGAAUAAGCCCCGGCAAACUUCGUGCCAGCAGCCGCGGUAA